UACGGAGGAUCCGAGCGUUAUCCGGAUUUAUUGGGUUUAAAGGGAGCGUAGGCGGGAGGUCAAGUCAGCUGUGAAAUGUAUCUGCUUAACGGGUACACUGCAGUUGAAACUGGUUUUCUUGAGUGCGUAAGAGGCAGGCGGAAUUCGUUGUGUAGCGGUGAAAUGCUUAGAUAUGACGAGGAACUCCUAUUGCGAAGGCAGCUUGCUGGGUCGUUACUGACGCUGAUGCUCGAAGGUGCGGGGAUCAAACAGGAUUAGAUACCCCGUA
Molecule: ribosomal RNA, 268 nt
Filed under: uncultured prokaryote
Description: partial 16S ribosomal RNA
Rfam family: Bacterial small subunit ribosomal RNA
Source: RNAcentral